UGGGGAAUAUUGGGCAAUGGGGCGAAAGCCUGACCCAGCAACGCCGCGUGAAGGAAGAAGGUCUUCGGAUUGUAAACUUCUUUUAUGAGGGACGAAGGACGUGACGGUACCUCAUGAAUAAGCCACGGCUAACUACGUGCCAGCAGCCGCGGUAAUACGUAGGUGGCAAGCGUUGUCCGGAUUUACUGGGUGUAAAGGGCGUGUAGCCGGGUCGGCAAGUCAGAUGUGAAAUCUGGAGGCUCAACCUCCAAACUGCAUUUGAAACUGUUGAUCUUGAGUAUCGGAGAGGUAACCGGAAUUCCUUGUGUAGCGGUGAAAUGCGUAGAUAUAAGGAAGAACACCAGUGGCGAAGGCGGGUUACU
This 362-nucleotide ribosomal RNA is filed under the name uncultured Oscillospiraceae bacterium. RNAcentral describes it as "bacterial SSU rRNA". It matches the Rfam family "Bacterial small subunit ribosomal RNA", at positions 355 to 730 of the family's 1533-position model. Lineage: Bacteria; Bacillati; Bacillota; Clostridia; Eubacteriales; Oscillospiraceae. The record is from RNAcentral.